This is a long non-coding RNA of Homo sapiens (human), 784 nucleotides long. RefSeq lists it as uncharacterized. The transcript has 2 exons. Lineage: Eukaryota; Metazoa; Chordata; Mammalia; Primates; Hominidae. The record is from RefSeq and is marked validated.
AGUCCCGCGUCGGUCGCCGCAGUCACGGAGCGCACAAGAACUCCACUGAACAUUCAUUGAAGGCCCAGAUUUAGAGUGAGCGGGGCAAACCAAGUUUUGUGCUGGGUGGAAGGAGGGGCGGCUGCUGUUCAGCCCACAGGAUUCCUGUGAGGACACCACAUGUUCAUAGUUGUUAAACCAUCUUGCAAACUCAUUGCCUGAUGUUCAGAUCUCCCGGCUCAGCUGGUGUCUGUGGAGUACAGGAUUUAUGUUUCAGAGAGGGCAUGAGCCCAGAUGAUGCCUCAAGACUCAGGUUCUAGGAGAGAAAGCAGUGCUUCAGGGACUUUGACUGCCCCCGCCCGAAAUGCAGUCGCCAUCUGCAGGUAAACAGAGCUGGAGCUGGUGCUGCCGGAAAAGAAAGAGGAGGGCUCUCCGGCAGCCUGCGGCUUCCUCAAGGACUUCCCAGGCCAGGCGCUGUGGCUCACGCCUGUAAUCCCAGCACUUUGGGAGGCCGAGGCGGGCAGAUCAUGAGGUCAGGAGAUCGAGACCAUCCUGGCUAACACAGUGAAACCCCAUCUCUACUAAAAAUACAAAAAUUAGCCAGGCGUAGUGGCGGGCGCCUGUAGUCCCAGCUACUCAGGAGGCUGAGGCAGGAGAAUGGCGUGAACCCAGGAGGCGGAGCUUGCAGUGAGCCGAGAUCGCGCCACUGCACUCCAGCCUGGGUGACAGAGCGAGACUCCGUCUCAAAAAAAAAAAAAAAAAAGAACUUCCCUGACAGCACCCAGGUUUCCCUGAUCCGCCCGCA